CAGCUGUAUAUUUUUUUUCCAUUUCACUUUGUGCCUUCAAUAAAGAGCUAAGCUGUGACUCUUGCCUUAAAAUUCUGCCAAAAUUGUGAAUGCUGGUUUUGAAUUACUUUGCUACCUGAAGAUUGGUGUCAAAGUGACUGUUUCUUCUUGGGAAAGGAGCCACGAGAGCAUAGCUGAAAGCAAGAAUUCAAAGGAAGUAGAACUGUGAAUGAAAGGACAAACUUGUUGGUACCAUAACUACCCUCAUCUGAUACUAAGAUUGCAGGUUGGUAACAAGUGAAAUAUUUCAUAAUACAGUCCAUGAUAAUUAUAAAGAAAAUAUCUUCCUUUUAUGGAAGUCAGGUUCCAAACCACUGUCAUUUUUUUCAGAACAAUUGCUAUCAAGUUAUGUCUAAUCACAUCUUCAUCAUCAUUCAAGUUACAAAGCUACAUAUUUCCUUGCUUUAAGUGGACUUAUUUGCUCACAUCAAAGUUCUCCACAACUGAUCAUAAAAUGAACAAUGAGAAACAUCCUUUCUGAGUAGUUCCAGACUGAAAUUGUGCAGCAUCCAGAGCUUCAAGUUUUACUUGCAUCCAAGAAGAUGAAAACUUUUUAAAAGAAAGUUCAACUAUCAUGUGAUUGAAGAGGCACCUAAAAAAAAAAAUCCCACAAAAUUCUGUAUUUGGUAAGAUAUGGAAUCACAUAAUGAGAUAGCACACUAUAUAAA
Molecule: long non-coding RNA, 707 nt
Filed under: Chloebia gouldiae (Gouldian finch)
Lineage: Eukaryota; Metazoa; Chordata; Aves; Passeriformes; Passeridae
Description: Erythrura gouldiae (Gouldian finch) lncRNA (ENSEGOG00005002235.1)
Source: RNAcentral